AAUCCAUGUAUCAGACACUUUCGAAUUAAGUCUUUAAAUCACUCCUAAGCUUCAUAUAGCGUUUCAUCAUCCAAUUUUCAAAGAGAUAUGAUGUCAUUUCUAAGCUU
Gossypium hirsutum (cotton) is the source of this 107-nucleotide non-coding RNA. The record is from Rfam. Lineage: Eukaryota; Viridiplantae; Streptophyta; Magnoliopsida; Malvales; Malvaceae.